UUCUGGAAGAAAUCACAGAGAGUCUGCAAGAGAACAUAUGUCUUAGGAAGAUUUAGUCUGAAGAGUUAGUGCUUGAUGUGAGAGAUGAGAGGAAGAAGACAAUGAUUCUAGAAUAGACCAAAGAAAGGGCUGAUUUGUUGACUGACUUUGGAUGUCACUUUGAACUUUUCUUAUCCUGAAAGGGAUCUGAACUAGCUGCUCCUCAGCUGGAGGGCUGAAUUUUGCACAAAGGCAGAUAGGUGAGGAUACCUCUAAUGAGAAGCUGUGAUGAUAGGUGGCUUCAAUCUGGCAUCCUGAAGAGAGAGACACAAAGCACUGAACUCGGAGUUGCAUUCUGGCGAAGAACUAGCCAGCCAUGCUGGAAGAUCAAUUGUGGACUGAGAAACACUCAUGUUGGGCACCGCCACAUGUAUAAUUGGGACCAAAGUUUGGUGUUCCAUUAGCCUUUCCAAGCCCAGGCAUGACGUCGGCAGAUCCACCGAUCUUGCUCUAAUUCGCCCUGCACAGUACAGAUUCAAACAUGCAAAUCGCUCUUUCUGUCUCUUUUAGAAGAGUGGUAGAAAUUGCAUUCAUGAUACGGAUGGAAAAGAUGACUGGAGUGAAAACAAAAAUAUCAACUCUCUUGCAAUUUUUCAUCCAGGCUCUUUUUGUAGAAUAUGACAGACAUUGGCUUCUUGCGAUAUUGCAAUAGAUGGAUAGUUCAUUUCAAUACUGUUCUGUCAGACUGCCUUAUUAUCAAUCACUUUAAUAAACAAAGUUAAAAAA
Chelonia mydas (Green sea turtle) is the source of this 765-nucleotide long non-coding RNA. RefSeq lists it as uncharacterized. The record is from RefSeq and is a predicted model, not a curated record. The transcript is spliced from 4 exons. NCBI's taxonomy places the organism in Eukaryota, Metazoa, Chordata, Testudines, Cheloniidae.